CUACCGGGGUAUCUAAUCCUGUUCGCUACCCAUGCUUUCGCUCCUCAGCGUCAGUUACUACCCAGAGACCUGCCUUCGCCAUCGGUGUUCUUCCUGAUAUCUGUGCAUUCCACCGCUACACCAGAAAUUCCAGUCUCCCCUGUAGUACUCAAGUCAGCCCGUAUCGCCUGCACGUCCAGGGUUAAGCCCUAGGAUUUCACAGACGACGUGACAAACCGCCUACGAGCUCUUUACGCCCAGUAAUUCCGGACAACGCUCGCACCCUACGUAUUACCGCGGCUGCUGGCAC
RNAcentral lists this ribosomal RNA (289 nucleotides) under uncultured Actinomycetales bacterium. RNAcentral's name for it is "partial 16S ribosomal RNA". Lineage: Bacteria; Bacillati; Actinomycetota; Actinomycetes; Actinomycetales. The record is from RNAcentral.